Molecule: ribosomal RNA, 231 nt
Filed under: Triticum aestivum (bread wheat)
Lineage: Eukaryota; Viridiplantae; Streptophyta; Magnoliopsida; Poales; Poaceae
Description: partial small subunit ribosomal RNA
Source: RNAcentral
AUGGUAUUGAGGAAUGCGUCCGCUGUCUCUGCGGAGGCGCUUCUCCUGAGCAAGCACAUGGCGUACUCCAUCACCAGUGCGUCGCAGGGAAGCGUGAUUCUCCCACCGUCAACGCCUGCGAAGCCGAACUCUUCUUGGGACAUCCUCAAGAGCUCACUGAAGAUGUUCGUGCCGAGUAACACAAGCGGCACCUCGAACCUCACACCGUCGUCUGUGUACACAAUGCAGUGA